RNAcentral lists this long non-coding RNA (298 nucleotides) under Vigna radiata. RNAcentral describes it as "long non-coding RNA (VRAD_LNC000737)". Lineage: Eukaryota; Viridiplantae; Streptophyta; Magnoliopsida; Fabales; Fabaceae. The record is from RNAcentral.
GCACUUGGGAUGCAAGAGAGAAAAAAGAGAGGACGAAGACAAUAACAUAUUGAGAAACGACAAUGCAAUGCCACAAGAGAUAAAAAGUAGAGGUGCGCAAGCGAGUAAAAGAAGAGGAGAAGCAAAGAAAAAGGAGAAGAGAUGAAGACGAGAUCAGAAACUGAAUGGUGUUAAGAGUCUACGGUCUAUUUAAAAUGAAAUGGGGGCGUCGGUGUUUCAGGGGAUCCGACGUCUAUGAAGCUGAAAAGAUUAACGUUUUGGUUUCCUGUCAGGGUAGUUCACGUCGGUGCCCCUCACA